CAGUCGCCGCGGGAAUACGGAGGGUGCAAGCGUUAAUCGGAAUUACUGGGCGUAAAGCGCACGCAGGCGGUCUGUCAAGUCAGAUGUGAAAUCCCCGGGCUUAACCUGGGAACUGCAUUUGAAACUGUCAGGCUGGAGUCUUGUAGAGGGGGGUGGAAUUCCAGGUGUAGCGGUGAAAUGCGUAGAGAUCUGGAGGAAUACCGGUGGCGAAGGCGGCCCCCUGGACAAAGACUGACGCUCAGGUGCGAAAGCGUGGGGAGCAAACAGGAUUAGAUACCCGCGUAGUCCCUGUCUCUUAUAC
RNAcentral lists this ribosomal RNA (301 nucleotides) under uncultured bacterium. RNAcentral's name for it is "partial 16S ribosomal RNA". It matches the Rfam family "Bacterial small subunit ribosomal RNA", at positions 509 to 807 of the family's 1533-position model. The record is from RNAcentral.